Molecule: long non-coding RNA, 783 nt
Filed under: Sorghum bicolor (sorghum)
Lineage: Eukaryota; Viridiplantae; Streptophyta; Magnoliopsida; Poales; Poaceae
Description: long non-coding RNA (SBIC_LNC008151)
Source: RNAcentral
AUCAUCUGGUAUCAAAGCUCAAGUUUCCACGGUAGGAUUUUUACCCUUAGCUACAUAUAUAUAUCUUGUUCGUCCUAUCCACCAAAAAGCCAAAAAAAAUUGCAUUAGCCCUUUGUUUCAAUCUGUUUUUCUUGUGAGUUUGGUUAAGUUUCAGUCCAUUAGAGUUUUGUUUAGUUGCUGAUCAUCAUAUCCUUUGUUUGUCCUUUGUGCCUCAUUUAUAUCUAUGAAUCCCUAAAGAAAAUCUGAAACCGGUAUCAUCCUUCGCGUAAACUUUGAGCCUAUCAAGUUAGAACGCUGACAGUUGUGUCUUGUUUCAAAAAAAAAGUAUCAAAAAAAGGAAAGUGAAAAAAAGAGGAAAGUUGAGGAAGAAAAGUUGUGAAGAAAGAGUAGAAAGUUCACUCUGUUUAUGUGCUCAAGUUCUGAAUUUUAUAUCAAGUCACACAAUCAGUCAUUAUCCAUCUUUGGUGCAAAAUUUUGCUUGGGUUUGAUUGCAACACUUGCAUCCUAGGCAUACUCCUUGUUUGCAUCAAAUCUGAAUUAUCUUUGCGCGUGUGUUUGAUCUAUUUACAUCACUCAUAUCUUGUGGUCAGCACUAGGCAUUGAACUUCUAGUUUGGAUUGUGGUUUAACUUUACAAUAUCAAGAAUUCAGAUUGCAUUCCUUGUGAAAUAUAUCCCCACCAAGCUCCACAAAUAACCCACCGUCAUAGGAAAAUACUGAUCUUGGAUUCUCCCAACCAUCAUUCUCGGUUACCACCUCGCAUUGGCCGUUGUAAUCUGCGGGG